AUUGAACGCUGGCGGCAUGCCUUACACAUGCAAGUCGAACGGUAACGGGCCUUCGGUGCCGACGAGUGGCGAACGGGUGAGUAAUGCAUCGGAACGUACCUUUCAGUGGGGGAUAACGUAGCGAAAGUUACGCUAAUACCGCAUAUUCUGUGAGCAGGAAAGCAGGGGAUCGCAAGACCUUGCGCUGAUUGAGCGGCCGAUGUCAGAUUAGCUAGUUGGUGAGGUAAAGGCUCACCAAGGCGACGAUCUGUAGCGGGUCUGAGAGGAUGAUCCGCCACACUGGAACUGAGACACGGUCCAGACUCCUACGGGAGGCAGCAGUGGGGAAUUUUGGACAAUGGGGGCAACCCUGAUCCAGCCAUGCCGCGUGAGUGAAGAAGGCC
This 383-nucleotide ribosomal RNA is filed under the name uncultured bacterium. RNAcentral's name for it is "bacterial SSU rRNA". It matches the Rfam family "Bacterial small subunit ribosomal RNA", at positions 30 to 416 of the family's 1533-position model. The record is from RNAcentral.